This 84-nucleotide microRNA precursor is filed under the name Leersia perrieri. RNAcentral describes it as "pre miRNA mir-395". It matches the Rfam family "mir-395 microRNA precursor family". From Rfam's summary of the family: mir-395 was identified in both Arabidopsis thaliana and Oryza sativa computationally and was later experimentally verified. mir-395 is thought to target mRNAs coding for ATP sulphurylases. The mature sequence is excised from the 3' arm of the hairpin. Lineage: Eukaryota; Viridiplantae; Streptophyta; Magnoliopsida; Poales; Poaceae. The record is from Rfam by way of RNAcentral.
GUAUUAUCGUGAGUUCCCUUAAAGCACUUCACACGGCACUAUUUUAAGAAUCAUGUGAAGUGUUUGGGGAACUCUCGAUUUCAC